This 440-nucleotide ribosomal RNA is filed under the name uncultured bacterium. RNAcentral's name for it is "partial 16S ribosomal RNA". It matches the Rfam family "Bacterial small subunit ribosomal RNA", at positions 338 to 795 of the family's 1533-position model. The record is from RNAcentral.
CCUACGGGUGGCUGCAGUGGGGAAUAUUGCACAAUGGGGGAAACCCUGAUGCAGCGACGCCGCGUGAGUGAGGGAGCGUUUCGGCGUGUAAAGCCCUAUCGGCAGGGAAGAAAAUGACGGUACCUGACCAAGAAGCCCCGGCUAACUACGUGCCAGCAGCCGCGGUAAUACGUAGGGGGCAAGCGUUAUCCGGAUUUACUGGGUGUAAAGGGGGCGCAGACGGCAAAGCAAGUCAGGAGUGAAAACCCAGGGCCCAACCCCGGGACUGCUGUUGAAACUGCAUAGCUGGAGUACAGGAGGGGGAGGCGGAAUUCCUAGUGUAGCGGUGAAAUGCGUAGAUAUUAGGAGGAACACCAGUGGCGAAGGCGGCCUGCUGGACUGUGACUGACGUUGAGGCCCGAAGGCGUGGGGAGCAAACAGGAUUAGAUACCCGGGUAGUC